GACGAACCGUGCGAACGUUGUUCGGAUUCACUGGGCUUAAAGGGCGCGUAGGCGGACCCAAAAGUCCGGGGUGAAAUCUUUCGGCUUAACCGGAAAAUCGCCUUGGAUACUGUGGGUCUCGAGGGAGGUAGGGGCAUGCGGAACUGUAGGUGGAGCGGUGAAAUGCGUUGAUAUCAUCAGGAACACCGGAGGCGAAGGCGGCUCACUGGGGAUUUUCUGACGCUGAGGAACGAAAGCCAGGGGAGCGAACGGG
This 253-nucleotide ribosomal RNA is filed under the name uncultured prokaryote. RNAcentral's name for it is "partial 16S ribosomal RNA". It matches the Rfam family "Bacterial small subunit ribosomal RNA", at positions 524 to 776 of the family's 1533-position model. The record is from RNAcentral.